AGUUCCGUAACUUCGGGAGAAGGAACGCCCAAGUAAAGUGAUUAAUUAACUUUAUAAGCUUGAAAGGGCCGCAGUGAUCAGACUCAAGCGACUGUUUAUCAAAAACACAGGAGGAUGCAAAGUUCUAAUACAACGUAUAUCCUCUGACACCUGCCCGGUGCUGGAAGGUUAAGUGGAGAGGUUAGCUUCGGCGAAGCUUUGAAAUUAAGCCCCAGUAAACGGCGGCCGUAACUAUAACGGUCCUAAGGUAGCGAAAUUCCUUGUCGGGUAAGUUCCGACCUGCACGAAUGGUGUAACGAUUUGAGUACUGUCUCAACCAUAGACUCGGCGAAAUUGCAAUGUGAGUAAAGAUGCUCACUAUGCGCGACAGGACGGAAAGACCCCGGAACCUUUACUGCAACUUGAUAUUGAUGUUUGGUAUGCAGUAUGCAGGAUAAGUGGGAGACUUUGAAGCAUUCACGCUAGUGGAUGUGGAGUCAUCCUUGAGAUACCACUUUCUUCAUAUUGAGCUUCUAACCUAGAUCCGUAAUCCGGAUCAGGGACAUUGUCUGGUAGGCAGUUUCACUGGGGCGGUGGCCUCCAAAAAAGUAACGGAGGCGCUCUAAGGUCACCUCAGCGUGGACGGCAAUCACGCAUUGAGUGUAAGUGCAAAAGGUGGCUUGACUGUGACACAAACAAGUGAAGCAGGUACGAAAGUAGGAACUAGUGAUCCCAUGGUUGCAUGUGGGUGCGCCAUGGCUCAUCGGCUAAAAGGUACUCCGGGGAUAACAGGCUUAUACCCCCCAAGAGUCCAUAUCGACGGGGGUGUUUGGCACCUCGAUGUCGGCUCUUCUCAUCCUGGGGCUGGAGCAGGUCCCAAGGGUUAGGCUGUUCGCCUAUUAAAGAGGAACGCGAGCUGGGUUCAGAACGUCGUGAGACAGUUCGGUCCCUAUCCGUCGCGCACGUAAGAAAUUUGAAGAAAGUUGUCCCUAGUACGAGAGGACCGGGAUGAACGAUCCGCUGGUGUGCCAGUUGUUCUGCCAAGAGCACGGCUGGUUAGCUACGAUCGGAAAGGAUAAGCGCUGAAAGCAUCUAAGUGCGAAGCCCCUUCUAAGAUAAGAUUUCUCAUCGGGUUAACCGAUUAAGACUCCUUAUAGAACAUGAGGUUGAUAGGUCAGAAGUGUAAGUACAGUAAUGUAUGUAGCUGACUGAUACUAAUAAGUCGAGGGCUUGAGCUG
RNAcentral lists this ribosomal RNA (1217 nucleotides) under marine metagenome. RNAcentral's name for it is "bacterial LSU rRNA". It matches the Rfam family "Bacterial large subunit ribosomal RNA", at positions 1724 to 2925 of the family's 2925-position model. The record is from RNAcentral.